RNAcentral lists this ribosomal RNA (948 nucleotides) under Triticum aestivum (bread wheat). RNAcentral's name for it is "partial small subunit ribosomal RNA". The record is from RNAcentral. Lineage: Eukaryota; Viridiplantae; Streptophyta; Magnoliopsida; Poales; Poaceae.
AUGCCAUUGUUACCUGGGCAAACACGCUGGAAAUUGCAGGUUCGUGCACAGUCGAAGCAAAAAAGAAUCAUGAUGGACAGGUGCGUAAUCUUCGCCCCCGGCCCAGUCCACUUGCAUCCCAACUUUCACAAAAGCUCGGUUGUGCCCAUCCGGUGCUCCAAUGUUGACUUGGAUCAUGUCCUCAGUGGCGUACCAGUGUCCAGAGCCACCUUCCCGAUGAAAUACCUGGGACUCCCACUCUCGGUCUGGCAGCUCAAGUAUGUAGAUUUCCAAUACCUUGAGGACAAGGCGGCCGGCAAACUUGUCACCUGGGACGGGCAAAACAUCACCACCAUCGGGCGCACGACACUUGUCAAAUCAGUCAUUGCCUCCCAGGCAGUGUAUGCCAUCACGCCCCUCAUCGUGCCACCACGCUCUCUUCACAAUAUCAACAAAUUGGAGAGGGCCUUUCUCUGGUCUGGUUCAGAUAAGACGACCGGUGCCAAAUGUAAAGUGAAUUGGAAGGUGGUAUGUCGCCCCAAGGAAUAUGGAGGCCUUGGGGUUCUAGACACUGACAAGUUUGCUCGGGCCUUACGUCUUAGAUGGCCUUGGUAUGAAUGGAAGGCACCGAACAAGCUUUGGGUGGGGCUUGGGAACCCCUGCACGGAGGACGACAUGGACUUUUUCUAUGCCUCAACGACCAUCAUUUUGGGCAAUGGAGCCAAAACACCUUUUUGGGACUCCCCAUGGCUUCUUGGGCGGAAACCGAAGGACAUUGCUCCUUUAAUAUACGGUGCCUUCACGCGUAAGAAUUGGAAAGUGCGUGAAGCCCUCGAUGGAAAUGCUUGGAUUCUUAAGAUCAACCAUAACAUCGUCGCUUCCAUUGCCCACAUCCGUCAGUUCUUCACGUUAUGGAUGUUGGUGCAUGAUCUACACCUGGACACACAAGCUGACGAUGACAUUAUCUAG